This 63-nucleotide transfer RNA is filed under the name Hylurgus micklitzi. Its description in RNAcentral is "tRNA-Ala". It matches the Rfam family "tRNA". Rfam says of the family: Transfer RNA (tRNA) molecules are approximately 80 nucleotides in length. Their secondary structure includes four short double-helical elements and three loops (D, anti-codon, and T loops). Lineage: Eukaryota; Metazoa; Arthropoda; Insecta; Coleoptera; Curculionidae. The record is from RNAcentral.
AGGAUAAUAGUUUAAAAAACAUUUAAUUUGCAAUUAAAAAUUAUCAAUUAUUGAUUUAUCUUA